Molecule: ribosomal RNA, 254 nt
Filed under: uncultured bacterium
Lineage: Bacteria
Description: partial 16S ribosomal RNA
Rfam family: Bacterial small subunit ribosomal RNA
Source: RNAcentral
UACGGAGGGUGCAAGCGUUAUCCGGAAUCACUGGGUUUAAAGGGUGCGUAGGCGGCCUAGUAAGUCAGAGGUGAAAGGCUAGAGCUUAACUUUAGAAUUGCCUUUGAUACUGCUGGGCUUGAAUUAGGAUGAGGUUAGCGGAAUGUGGCAUGUAGCGGUGAAAUGCAUAGAUAUGCCAUAGAACACCGAUUGCGAAGGCAGCUGGCUAGACCUAAAUUGACGCUGAGGCACGAAAGCGUGGGGGAGCGAAUAGG